RNAcentral lists this ribosomal RNA (275 nucleotides) under uncultured bacterium. Its description in RNAcentral is "partial 16S ribosomal RNA". It matches the Rfam family "Bacterial small subunit ribosomal RNA", at positions 28 to 297 of the family's 1533-position model. The record is from RNAcentral.
GAUGAACGCUAGCUACAGGCUUAACACAUGCAAGUCGCGGGGCAGCAUGUAUCUGGCUUGCCAGAUACGAUGGCGACCGGCGCACGGGUGAGUAACACGUAUCCAACCUGCCGCAUACUCCGGAAUAGCCUUUCGAAAGAAAGAUUAAUGCCGGGUGGCAUGUAAAUUCUGCAUGGGAUUUACAUUAAAGAUUCAUCGGUAUGCGAUGGGGAUGCGUUCCAUUAGCUUGUGGCGGGGUACGCCCACCAAGGCGACGAUGGAUAGGGGUUCUGAGA